GACGAACGCUGGCGGUAUGCUUAACACAUGCAAGUCGAACGAGAAGUCUUUUAUUGACCCUUCGGGGGAUAUAAGAGACAGACAGUGGCGAACGGGUGAGUAACGCGUGGGCAACCUACCUAUCGGAGCGGGAUAGCCUCGAGAAAUCGGGAGUAAAACCGCAUAACACGGAUAUAUCGCAUGAUGAAUCCGUCAAAACUCCGGUGCCGAUAGAUGGGCCCGCGUCUGAUUAGCUAGUUGGUAAGGUAAGGGCUUACCAAGGCAACGAUCAGUAGCCGGUCUGAGAGGGCGAACGGCCACACUGGAACUGAGACACGGUCCAGACUCCUACGGGAGGCAGCAGUGGGGAAUAUUGCGCAAUGGGGGCAACCCUGACGCAGCAAUACCGCGUGAGUGAAGAAGGUUUUCGGAUCGUAAAGCUCUGUUAUUGGGGAAGAAGCAGUGACGGUACCCAAUGA
RNAcentral lists this ribosomal RNA (458 nucleotides) under Pseudoramibacter alactolyticus. RNAcentral describes it as "bacterial SSU rRNA". It matches the Rfam family "Bacterial small subunit ribosomal RNA", at positions 28 to 485 of the family's 1533-position model. Lineage: Bacteria; Bacillati; Bacillota; Clostridia; Eubacteriales; Eubacteriaceae. The record is from RNAcentral.